Molecule: ribosomal RNA, 803 nt
Filed under: Anelosimus darwini
Lineage: Eukaryota; Metazoa; Arthropoda; Arachnida; Araneae; Theridiidae
Description: partial 16S ribosomal RNA
Source: RNAcentral
UUUACAUUUUAAUUUCUUUAUUAAAUAUAAUAUUAAUAAUUUAUAUUAAAUAUAAAAAUAUAUUUAUAAAAUAAAAAGACGACAAGACCCUAUUAAAUUUUACUUAUUGUUUAGCUGGGGCAGCUUUUUAAAUAAAAUUUUAAAUUAUUUAAAUUCAAAUAUAUAAUAUAAUAAAAAAUCUAAUAUAAUUAAAUUAAUCAAAUUACUAUAGGGAUAACAGCGUUAUAUUUUUUUCAAGUUCAUAUUUAAAAAAAUUAUUGCGACCUCGAUGUUGAAUUAUAUUUCUUUAUUAAUGCAACAAUUAUAAAAGUAGGUCUGUUCGACCUUUAAAAUAUUACAUGAUUUGAGUUCAAACCGGUGUAAACCAGGUUGGUUUCUAUCUUUUUUACAAUUUUUCUAGUACGAAAGGACAAAUAAAUUUUUAUUAUAAAAUUAAUUAGCAAAUUUAUGCAUUAGAUUUAGAUUCUAAAUAUUCUAUUUAUAAUUAUUUUAAAUUCUUUAAUUUCUAUAAUUAGAUUAUUAAUUAUAGUAGCAUUUUAUACUAUUUUAGAACGAAAAAUUCUUAGUUAUAUACAAAUUCGAAAAGGUCCUAAUAAAGUAGGAUUUAUAGGAAUUCUUCAACCUUUUAGUGAUGCUAUUAAAUUAUUUAACAAAAAUCUCAUUUCUUCAGAAAGAAUAAAUUUUUUAUUAUCAUAUAUUUCUCCUGCUAUAUCCUUAAUUUUAUCAUUAAUAAUUAUCAUUAUUUUACCUAUAUAUUGAAAUUCUCCUUUUGAUAAUAAAAAUAGAAUUAUUAUAUUUUUUGU